AAUCAACGCUGGCGGCGUGCCUAACACAUGCAAGUCGAGCGGUAAGGCCCUUUCGGGGGUACACGAGCGGCGAACGGGUGAGUAACACGUGGGUGACCUGCCCUCAGCUCUGGGAUAAGCCUGGGAAACCGGGUCUAAUACCGGAUAUGACUCCAUGACGCAUGUUGUGGGGUGGAAAGCCUUGUGCGGCUGGGGAUGGGCCCGCGGCCUAUCAGCUUGUUGGUGGGGUGAUGGCCUACCAAGGCGA
This 247-nucleotide ribosomal RNA is filed under the name uncultured Actinomycetes bacterium. RNAcentral's name for it is "uncultured actinobacterium partial 16S ribosomal RNA". It matches the Rfam family "Bacterial small subunit ribosomal RNA", at positions 32 to 276 of the family's 1533-position model. Lineage: Bacteria; Bacillati; Actinomycetota; Actinomycetes. The record is from RNAcentral.